This 339-nucleotide unclassified non-coding RNA is filed under the name soil metagenome. Its description in RNAcentral is "partial contains 5.8S ribosomal RNA, internal transcribed spacer 2, and large subunit ribosomal RNA". The stretch from base 1 to 120 matches the Rfam family "5.8S ribosomal RNA", at positions 35 to 154 of the family's 154-position model. The record is from RNAcentral.
GAUGAAGAACGUAGCGAAAUGCGAUACGUAGUGUGAAUUGCAGAAUUCAGUGAAUCAUCGAAUCUUUGAACGCACAUUGCACCUCUCGGUAUUCCGGGAGGUAUGCCUGUUCGAGCGUCAUUUGUACCCUCAAGCUCUGCUUGGUGUUGGGUGUUUGUUCCGCCUCUGUGUGUGAACUCGCCUCAAAACAAUUGGCAGCCGGCGUACUUGUUUCGGAGCGCAGCACAUUUUGCGAUCCAGAUCAACGUACAGCGGCAUCCAAGAAGCCUUAUUUAACGCUAUUGACCUCGGAUCAGGUAGGGAUACCCGCUGAACUUAAGCAUAUCAAUAAGCGGAGGA